RNAcentral lists this long non-coding RNA (244 nucleotides) under Nicotiana benthamiana. Its description in RNAcentral is "long non-coding RNA (NBEN_LNC020936)". The record is from RNAcentral. Lineage: Eukaryota; Viridiplantae; Streptophyta; Magnoliopsida; Solanales; Solanaceae.
CAGGUUCAAUUACUUCAGAAAAUUGUAAUCUCCUCGCAGUUGACUCAAUCAUCUCUUCAUUUCCCUUCGAACGAGUAUUAGCUGCUUCUUCAACCUCUGCAUGUGAAAUUUCCUUCGAUUGGUACUUCUGUGGGAGGAAGUUACCAAAUGUUAGGGGUUCAAGCGUCGUGGUAAUACCAUGAGCAGGUGUAACAAGUUGAGGAGGUGCUAAGGUAACAGUCAGAGCAACAUUUUGCCGUCGUCU